Long non-coding RNA from Wasmannia auropunctata (little fire ant), 1596 nucleotides. RefSeq lists it as uncharacterized. NCBI's taxonomy places the organism in Eukaryota, Metazoa, Arthropoda, Insecta, Hymenoptera, Formicidae. The record is from RefSeq and is a predicted model, not a curated record. The transcript has 3 exons.
AGCCCGCGAUCGUGGUGAGCGUACGCGUGUCUCGUUCCGCACCGUGUAUAUAACGCGCGCGCGGUGUCGCAAAUAUACACGGCUACUCCGGUUUCUCCCGGCGCGUCCCCCGCGAGCGAGCGAGCGAGCAGAUCGAUCGGAAUCGAUCGAUCCGAUAUAACCGUGCGGAAUUGUUCAGCCGCGUCGAAAUUGUAAACGCGCGCGCGGAAGGAGAUUUCUUUUCGCAGCCCGCGGCGCCGCUCCUCUCGCACCGCAUCGUCCCCGCGGACGAAACCGCCUCGGGGAAAUAACCGCUCCGAAUGAGCGAAGGAGCGGGUCGACGAUCGUAGACAUCUGCCGACGAGUCAUCAGUGAAACGGGUGACGUGAAAUCAUAUGGGACACUUUUCUAACGUAAGAGGGGAUUCGUGGAGAGACGCGGUUAGACCACGGAGCGCGGAGAGACAGCCGGUCUCUCGCGAAGAGCGGACGAGGGAGGAGUGAUAUGAGUGCUGAACGCAGGAUCUUUCGUGACGUUAAACGGCGAUUGAGUGGCGAGCGGUUCGAAGGAAAUACCAUCGAGUGAUCGGCACGCGAGGGAAGACCGGACGUCGCGCAUUGAGGAUCGGGUGGAGCGGGAGAGAGAAAGGGAAAAGGACGAGAAGAAGGGCGUAAUAGUAGUGUGUUUAUUUUUUAUUGGUUGCGUGAGGAAAGCGAACCUACGCGUGCGGCAAGAAGAGACGAGAAAAGUGAAGACGAGCUGGAGGACGGCCGGUGGAAGUAGCCUCGAGGUGGGAAGGAAGGUGAAGAAAAAGAAAAGAUGAUGCUGUGCCAUCCGAUCGUUCUCCUCGCCGGCCUGCUCACCGUCGUCCGUGCUCAAGGGGUCCCGCGAACAUUUUCGGCUAGGCCUUACCGAGGAGGUUGGUUCGUUUGUUUGGUUUGCAAUUAGGAUUAGUCAGUAGAUUUUUUUCUCUAAAAGCCCUAGUCCUCUCCUUUUUCUUUCUUCUUUCACGCGUAAUAGACUUCGCUUUUACAUACAUAAUUACUCGUCUGUUUCUUCCCCUGUAUUCUUACUACUACUACUACUACUACUACUACUGUCUCUCUUUAUAUAUAUAUUAUAUAUAUCUCUAUAUCUAUAUCUCUCUGUCUUUCACUAUCUACCUUUUCCCUUUAUUCUCUCUUGAUGCCUCGAUCGUCGCUCGACCAUUGCUAACACCAAUCACCACCUUUGAACGUUACUAACCGUAGCAUAUAUAUCUAUACAUACGUGCGUGCAGACUCGAUCCUUGCAUAUGUGUAUCUUAGACUCACACGUAUCAAGAUGUAUGUAUACGCAUAUAUAUGGAUAUGUGUAUAUCCGAUUAUAUACCGAUUGAUUUUCGUAUAUAUCAAGCAGUGUGUGACUUCACCACCACUCCGACUCUCGAUUGACACCGAUUGACUUGUUCUCUCUUUCUCUCUCUCUGUUUUUUCUUUUUUUUACAUAUAAUUUUUUACGUUUGUCGAAGGUCCGUAUCUCUAGCUUUAGUUGAUCGAUGUUUAGAUAUGUGAUGAAUUAAGAUAUGUCCUUAUUAUCUGUGCGUGCCUUGUCAAUGCGCGCGUCUUCCCCCUCCCC